GACGAACCGUGCGAACGUUGUUCGGAAUCACUGGGCUUAAAGGGCGCGUAGGCGGCUUCGCAAGUCCGGGGUGAAAGCCCCCAGCUCAACUGGGGAAGUGCCUCGGAUACUGCGGAGCUUGAGGGAGGUAGGGGCGGAUGGAACUUCCGGUGGAGCGGUGAAAUGCGUUGAUAUCGGAAGGAACGCCGGUGGCAAAAGCGAUCCGCUGGCCCUCUACUGACGCUGAGGCGCGAAAGCCAGGGGAGCAAACGGG
This 253-nucleotide ribosomal RNA is filed under the name uncultured bacterium. RNAcentral describes it as "partial 16S ribosomal RNA". It matches the Rfam family "Bacterial small subunit ribosomal RNA", at positions 524 to 776 of the family's 1533-position model. The record is from RNAcentral.